GGGGACUCCCGGACAGUUCACGAACUCGCGACUUUGGUCAAGUCGCAUUCCCCCACUCUCGUCUUUUUGUGUGAGACGAGACAGUUUGCUAGCAAGAUGAAGAGGUAUCGCUCAAGAUUGAGCCUGAAGGGCUUUGUUGGUGUUGAUUCUAGUGGUAAUAGUGGAGGUUUGGCACUGUUUUGGCACGAGGGUCUGAAGGUGGAGGUUAAAUUCUCAAAUGCCCGUUGUAUGGAUGUUCAUGUACAAACUGGGCCGGAUGAACAACCGUGGAGACUGACUUGUGUGUAUGGUGAACGGAGGGUGGAGGAUCGGCCUCUUAUGUGGUCUCUGAUGCAGAACCUUUGUGCCAAUUCAGAUUUACCAUGGAUGGUGGUGGGUGACUUCAACGAAUGUAUGUGGGAUUUAGAGCAUUUUUCCCUAAACACGAGAGCACCAGUUCAGACGCAAUUAUUCCAGGAUGUCCUGGAGACGUGCGACUUGGCUGAUCUGGGUUUUACUGGUGUCCCUUACACAUACGAUAAUAAGAGAAGUGGGAAUGCAAACAUGAAAGUUCAUCUGGAUAGGGCGGUUGUGAAUCCGCCUUGGAGGAAUAUUUUUUUCAACACCUUGGUACACCACCUUGCUUCCCCCUGUUCAGAUCAUGUGCCUGUUCAUGUGUGUUGUGAUGAUGUGGGUGAUUAG
RNAcentral lists this ribosomal RNA (681 nucleotides) under Triticum aestivum (bread wheat). Its description in RNAcentral is "partial small subunit ribosomal RNA". The record is from RNAcentral. Lineage: Eukaryota; Viridiplantae; Streptophyta; Magnoliopsida; Poales; Poaceae.